CCGAGUUUACAACUCCCAAACCCCUGUGAACAUACCACGUUUGUUGCUUCGGCGGACCACCCCCGACUCGCCUCGGGGGCCCGCCAGAGGACCCAAAUCCAACUGUAUUUUGUUUUUUACAUUUUUGAAACGUCAUUCUGAGUGGAUUUAUCUAAAUCAAAUCA
RNAcentral lists this unclassified non-coding RNA (164 nucleotides) under uncultured Nectriaceae. RNAcentral's name for it is "sequence contains ITS1". Lineage: Eukaryota; Fungi; Ascomycota; Sordariomycetes; Hypocreales; Nectriaceae. The record is from RNAcentral.